AAUGAACGUUGGCGGCGUGGAUUAGGCAUGCAAGUCGAGCGAGAACCCGCAAGGGGGCCAGCGGCGAACGGGGUAGGAAUACGUAGGUAACGUACCCUCGGGGCGAGGACAGCCACGGGAAACUGUGGGUAAUACUCGAUAAACUUCCCAAUCAUUAUGGAAGGGGAAGCAAUGGGUGUGAUUCCACCUGAGGAGCGGCUUACGCAGUAUCAGCUAGUUGGUGAGGUAACGGCUCACCAAGGCUACGACGCUUAGGGGGUGUGAGAGCAUGGCCCCCACCACUGGCACUGAGACACUGGCCAGACACCUACGGGUGGCUGCAGUCGAGAAUCUUCGGCAAUGGACGCAAGUCUGACCGAGCGACGCCGCGUGUGGGAUGAAGGCCUGGGUUGUAAACCACUGUCAGAGGGGAUGAAGUGUACGAGAGUUAUCUCUUGUAUUUGACAGAGCCUCAGAGGAAGCACGGGCUAAGUUCGUGCCAGCAGCCG
RNAcentral lists this ribosomal RNA (488 nucleotides) under uncultured bacterium. Its description in RNAcentral is "bacterial SSU rRNA". It matches the Rfam family "Bacterial small subunit ribosomal RNA", at positions 29 to 517 of the family's 1533-position model. The record is from RNAcentral.